Aegilops tauschii subsp. strangulata is the source of this 1237-nucleotide non-coding RNA. The record is from RefSeq and is a predicted model, not a curated record. Lineage: Eukaryota; Viridiplantae; Streptophyta; Magnoliopsida; Poales; Poaceae.
CAUUCCAUAUUCUAAUGCACAUAGUUUUUUGCCUAGAUUCCGAAAUGUAGUGCGCAUAAGCUGCUUUGGACUAAAGUAGCCCUGGACUGUUCACAGGAACGCAGCAGCAGACACCCACGUGCUGUGACAGAGCGAGCAGCUGGAGGGCAAUUCCUGUCCAAAUGAGAAUGCCAGCUCACGCAUUGGUAUAAACGCUACACACAAAGGCGCAUUAUAAAGUGGAACAGUGGGAGUACUAAAUUCAUAUGUAAUACUAAAUUCCUACAGGUCAUAAAUUAGAUUUUUCGACAAUAAGUACCUAAGUCUAUGUUAUGUUUAAGUUAAAAAACAAUGUCGAUGUGAGACAUACAUACACCGAUUAAUAAAGCGGUUAGUACUUAAAUUGACCGUCAUGUCCUAUGUGCCUUAGGGGUAAGUUUUCAUCUCCACCAUUGACCCGCUUAAGGUGGCUAUACUGAAGCAGACCCCUUAUAAUUAUGAAUGGUUUAUGAAGUUGAAGGAUGAAACUUGAACGAACACAAUGUUGAGGUUUGUAAAGUGAAGCCUAAGACAAGUUUGAGGGGUUAAUAUGGACUUCUCUCAAACUAUAUUACCAGAGGACAAUGAGGGCCUUGAAGACAAUGACAGCGAUGAGUUUCUCCUGGUUCUGUUUUGUUGUAGGCGAAGUUCUUAAUUAUAAUUAUCAAUGCGUUUGUUUUUCUUAAGGAUGCAGUGACAUGCAAGGCGAGGCAAAUUGAAGCCAAAACAGCAGGACGGUCGGAAGUGUGCCAUUUUUUCUAUAUAGGGCAGGGGGUGGUUCUUCAAUCUUCAGGGAAUCAAGCGGUAGCACCGGAUGCUGACAUGCAUGGAAGCAGUAAACAUUGAUAGGAAUACAAGCAUUGGAGUACUCGCCAUGUUCGAGGAAUUCGUAGCUGAUGGCGGCAUCAUCAUGGAGCAGGCACCAUCUUCUCCUCUAUUUAAACUGUAGUACUUCAUGUACUCCCACUUGUAAACUUUCUGAAAUGCAAAUCCACUCCAAGAAUGUGCUCUGAAAUGGAGAAACAUGGAGUAUACUCUAAAAAUCAGUUUGGUGCCUGCCCAGUAGAUCCAUCAAAGUACUCCGGGCAUGAUAAAAAGAAUACUACAACAUGAGUACUACAGCAGAAUCAGUUUGGUUUGAGCCAAGCAAGAGUACUAAAAUCCCCUGAUAAAAAGAAUACUACAACAUGAUAAACAUGAUUUCAGAGAUGUUGAUUUA